AACCUGACUAGGAAGGAUCGGCUGCUCAAGGGUAGCUGGGACUGAAGUCCCUAUGACCUUUCCACUAGACGCUAGCAUUCUGGAGGACAGUUGGGACUUGGUAAGUUUUCUCUCCCAGGUUUCUUUUUUCUUAAACUCCUGGCCUCAAGUGAUCCUCUUACCUCAGCCUCUCAAAGUGUCGGGAUUACAGGUUCUUCCUGCAAUACAGUGGAUACAAUUUGUCAUGGCUACUCUGAGUGUUAUAGGUUCAAGUUCACUUAUUGCCUAUGCUGUAUUCCAGAAUAUACAGAAAUCUCCAGAGAUAAGACCACUUUUUUAUCUGAGCUUCUGUGACCUGCUCCUGGGACUUUGCUGGCUCACGGAGACACUUCUCUAUGGAGCUUCAGUAGCAAAUAAGGACAUCAUCUGCUAUAACCUACAAGCAGUUGGACAGAUAUUCUACAUUUCCUCAUUUCUCUACACCGUCAAUUACAUCUGGUAUUUGUACACAGCGCUGAGGAUGAAACACACCCAGAGUGGACAGAGCACAUCUCCACUGGUGAUAGAUUAUACUUGUCGAGUUGGUCAAAUGGCCUUUGUUUUCUCAAGCCUGAUACCUCUGCUAUUGAUGACACCUGUAUUCUGUCUGGGCAAUACUAGUGAAUGUUUCCAAAACUUCAGUCAGAGCCACAAGUGUAUCUUGAUGCACUCACCACCAUCAGCCGUGGCUGAACUCCCACCUUCUGCCAACACAUCUGUCUGUAGCACACUUUAUUUUUAUGGUAUCGCCAUUUUCCUGGGCAGCUUUGUACUCAGCCUCCUUACCAUUAUGGUCUUACUUAUCCGAGCCCAGACAUUGUAUAAGAAGUUUGUGAAGUCAACUGGCUUUCUGGGGAGUGAACAGUGGGCAGUGAUUCACAUUGUGGACCAACGGGUGCGCUUCUACCCAGUGGCCUUCUUUUGCUGCUGGGGCCCAGCCUCGGCCUCACCAUGUGUGUCAGGAGCUGUUUCCAGUCCCCCCGUCUCCAGUGGGUGUGGAGGACAGCCUUCCUGAAACACACCCAGUGCAGGCACCAGGGGUCCCACCGAUGGACGCACCUUGGAGGCAGCACCUACAGAGCGGUGAUUUUCGACAUGGGCAGAGUUCUCAUUCCUUCUCCAGGGAGAGUCGCUGCAGUCAUACAGGAGUAUGGAGUGAUGAACACAGGAGUGAUCCAUGCAGACUUUGUUUGGGGCACAAGAAGUGCCGACGCGCACAUCUCCAUCAUCAGGGAUAUCAGUAAUGUUAUGGGCAUCCAUGCUCCAGCACCAGUCAUUGUCAUGAGGGACCUGGAUCACUGUAUGUUGAGCUUUGACUCGUGGUAAGGAUUGAACACCUGUACAUAUGAGUUUCCCACAAAAUACAUUAUCACCUGAACAUAUAACAUAUGUUUGCUGAUCCUCAGUGGGACGGCCACAGUUUCCAAACCGGUCUCCUCUGGUAUUUAUUGAAAUGUAACAGUCUUCCGGGGCAGAUCUUGCAGGGUACCCAUAUAUAUUCACACAUUGGUUAUCAGGGUUCUUACACUGACCCCCAGAGCAAUAGUGAAUUCUAUCAUACAACGUGCCAUCUUGCUUGUAGCUGUCUGCAGGGCAUUCUGCAGAGCUACCGUCACAAUAUUCUGGGAGGUCACAAUCAUCCUGAGUAGGACGGCAUAAAAACCCCUUCCUUCUGAAAGUGCAGCCCAGACAGCAGAGGCCAUGGCUGCACUCAACAUUCUCCUUCAGAGUACAUGUGGCAUCACAGCAUGGGUCGAGGUGACAGGCAGAACCACAGUCACACUGCUCUGUGUCCUCCACCACACCAUUUCCACAGGCAGAAUCCCUACGCUUGCGGCCCCUGGGCCAUGGCUUGUUAAAUAGGCAGGCCCCUUUGUGUUCUCGAAGGAACUGGUAGUAGUAGUCAGAGCUGCAGUUGCUGAAGCCACUUUCUUUUGUGAUAUUUUCAUGCAUGAGGCAAAAGUGCUUAUCUUUACAAAAGCAGGCCGAGUGGUCGUGCUGAAUACCCAGGUUGUGCCCGAGCUCAUGGGCCAUCAGGGCUGCAAACAACAGCGCAUCUUCAUGAUGGAAGGAUUCAACAGCUGCCACAAAACCGCUUGAGCAGGCACCACUGAGAAAGGCCUGGCCCAUAUUCUGUCCAGGGUGAUGCCCAACGAUCAUGUGGGCAACAUCGUGUUUUGCGCGAUGGAAGAGCAUCUCUUGUCUCCAGUGAUUGAAAUUCCUGAGUGUGAUUUGCAAGUCCACUGUGACAUCUAUUAGGUCCCCCUCGGUCCAAAUCUCCAUUCCAGCCAGCACCACCUCUGUGUUUAUUCCCCUAGUGAAGCUGUUGGCCAGAGCAAUGACAUCCACUACUGUCUGGACCGUCUCAUUGACGUUACUGCCCCACAUCUGGAACCGCUGGUUGUUGACCACGACAAACAUUUCCACGUACUUUUUGUGUGACCACAAGUAGGACAGCGCCUGUAGAUCAUGAGGCUUCCUGCUCCCUUGUUGCCAGCUAGUAGACACCACAUGGCUGUCUCUGGAAGUGACACCACAGGAGACUCGCGCUUGAUGUGCCAUGGUGUAUAACACAUGUUCAAACCGUCUUGAAGAGUCCAUGGGCUCACUGCUGUAAGAUUUUUCCUCCUUAAUCAGGAUGCCCCUGAGACCUGCACAGAUGUUGACAGAAACAAAAGAACCUGACACUCCUUCUAUGUAGCCUUCAUAGUGGCAGUCAUGUGAGAUGAAAGGCGAUUCUUGCCCCAGGAGGCCAUUGUGGUAACUGUAGACUGGAAAGUUAUUCACAAAAUGGUUUCUCUUCACCUUCAGAUGAACCAGGUGCUUCUGGCCUUGCAUAAGUAACAAGUAGGACAGUCCUUCCACUGGGAUAUCUCCUCCCUGGACUGUCAGCCUCUUUGGAAUAAUUAUUUCAUAGAAAGAGUAAUAGAUUGAUCCCAGGUGACAGUACAUGCUUGGCACAAAAAUCACCAAAAGCAUCAAAAUCUCUAACCUGAUACAUGAAGGUCCUGGUACUAGCCCCAGCCUUAAGUUCCACUUCUGUGGAGCCCAAGUUUGAAACUUUAUCUUAGCCUCUUCCAAGGCCACUUGGUUUUUCCAUAAAGCAGGAUGUUGGCAGAGUCUUUUAAUAAUGCCACCAGUGACAUGGCCCAAAUAAAUCAGUUAAUGAUUCUGGGCCUAUGUCCAUCAGCAGAGCUCUCCCUCGCACACAAACCCUCGGAGGCUCAGGUGUUAGUCUCAGAUCUACGCUGGCUCCCUUAUUGGCAGUUCUUGCCCAACUCUGAUUCUUACAGAACUUCAAGCCGUGUUUCUCUUCCUGCUUCUCUCCUGGCCUUCGGCAGUUUCUUUAGUAUGUCUUCCUUCCAACAGCAACAACUUUAAUCUUCCUUAGUUAUAUUCCUUUUACUUUCAUGGGAAGAUAUUCCAAGUAGAAGGCCUGUAGUGAUCCAGCCAGUACUGUAACUCAGGCAAAUUAUUCUUUAUCCUCAGCUCAGGCCACACAACUUGAUAUCCGUUAAUCUGCUCAUUCUUUGAAACCCAACAUUCUGUCAGGGGGUGGGGGGAAGGGGGCAGGGCUUCUCUGGGGAUCUCUGAAAAGGUCAAAGUUCUUUGUGGCCCACUGCCUCUUUCCCUCAUUUCUGCAGUUUUCAGGGUACCAUUUCUCAGUUCAACUCUCCUUUGUCAGUGUCUGGUUUUUUUUCUUUAAUUCAAGAAAAUCUGUAUGUGGAUGUUCAAGUUUUCCCUCAUUAUCGUUGGUUCAUAACAAAUGAGUUUAGAUAUUUUAUAUCUGCAUAUAAUCUUCUCUACCAAGUUUUCCUAAUGCACGGAUAUAUUAUGUGUUAAGUAAAAUGGGCUCAAGUUUCACCAUGGGAGUAUAUAAAGGAUCAGGAUCAAAGUUCAGUUCCUCCAACUGCCCUAACAUAAAAACAAAGUGUGGGGCCCGGGCACGGUGGCUCACCCCUGUAAUCCCAGCACUUUGGGAGGCCGAGGCAGGCGGAUCACCUGAGGUCGGGAGUUCGAGACCAGCCUGGCCAGCAUGGUGAAACCCCGUCCCUACUAAAAAUGCAAAAAUUAGCGGGGCGUGGUGGCAGGCGCCUGUAAUCUCAGCUACUCAGGAAGGUGAGGCAGGAGAAUCGCUGGAACCCAGGAGGCGUAGGUUGCAGUAAGCCGAGAUCACACCUUUGCACUCCAACCUGGGCAACAGAGUGAGAAUCCGUCUCAAAAAAAAAACUGUGGGGUCAAAAUAAAAGCUGACUAACCAGGUGUCUAGUUAACAUUUCAUCAAGAAAAGAAAACUGGGCUAUAUAAGAACUUUUAAAAGAUUUCUUCGGUUUGGAACUAAAAUUGACCUGAAAUGUCUGUGGAAGUCCUUGAAUUUGGUUUUGAUGUCAAUUUCCUUGGUGUAUUUAGCAGUACAAAUUUAAAAGGAAAAGAAGCCCUAUGCACCCAUUCCUUACGCAGUUAUUCUGUGCAUUCUAGAUGAAGAAAAAUAAAACUCUACAUUUUUUAUCUUGUAUAA
This is an RNA transcript of Pan troglodytes (chimpanzee), 4537 nucleotides long. It is a transcript of the gene named transmembrane protein 116, with no coding region annotated. The transcript has 12 exons. Lineage: Eukaryota; Metazoa; Chordata; Mammalia; Primates; Hominidae. The record is from RefSeq and is a predicted model, not a curated record.